UGAUACCCUAAGGUGCAUAAGGUACUGAAAAUAGUGUUUACACGUAUUUUCAGUACUUUGGCACCUGCAAAAACAUGAGAAUGAAGCCACUAUAGUGGCGAAAAUUCGAAUGUUUUUAGGAUUUCGGGAGUGCCUUGCACGAAGAAAUCCGCCGGGUAUCA
Molecule: small RNA, 161 nt
Filed under: Eshraghiella crossota CAG:259
Lineage: Bacteria; Bacillati; Bacillota; Clostridia; Lachnospirales; Lachnospiraceae
Description: Butyrivibrio crossotus CAG:259 Clostridiales-1 RNA
Rfam family: Clostridiales-1 RNA
Source: Rfam by way of RNAcentral